This is a long non-coding RNA of Episyrphus balteatus (marmalade hoverfly), 234 nucleotides long. RefSeq lists it as uncharacterized. Lineage: Eukaryota; Metazoa; Arthropoda; Insecta; Diptera; Syrphidae. The record is from RefSeq and is a predicted model, not a curated record. The transcript has 2 exons.
CAAAAGACAGGAUGAAUUGAAUUUUGAUAGAAUUCACGCCCAAGCUCGCAGUGUAAAUGAGAGAUGUAUAGGCAUUCUUAAAGGUAUCUAAAUGCGUUAACGUAUGCGCUGCACUGCACAAUAUUUGUAUCCAAUACAACGUUCCCGUGUUGGAACAAAUUCACGAGGACGAAACACAAUAUCAUUGGGAUGCUGAAGACACCAAUAGAAUAACUUUAAAAAAAAAAGCAGAAA